AUUUAUAUAGUAUAAUUAUUAUUUUUGACUUCCAAUUAAAAGAUCUAAAUAAAUUAGUAUAAAUA
Molecule: transfer RNA, 65 nt
Filed under: Nicrophorus nepalensis
Lineage: Eukaryota; Metazoa; Arthropoda; Insecta; Coleoptera; Silphidae
Description: tRNA-Gly
Source: RNAcentral